This 497-nucleotide ribosomal RNA is filed under the name uncultured bacterium. RNAcentral's name for it is "partial 16S ribosomal RNA". It matches the Rfam family "Bacterial small subunit ribosomal RNA", at positions 28 to 507 of the family's 1533-position model. The record is from RNAcentral.
GAUGAACGCUGGCGGCGUGCCUAAUACAUGCAAGUCGAGCGAACAGACGAGGAGCUUGCUCCUCUGACGUUAGCGGCGGACGGGUGAGUAACACGUGGAUAACCUACCUAUAAGACUGGGAUAACUUCGGGAAACCGGAGCUAAUACCGUAUAAUAUAUUGAACCGCAUGGUUCAAUAAUGAAAUACGGUUUUGCUGUCACUUAUAGAUGGAUCCGCGCCUCAUUAGCUAGUUGGUAAGGUAACGGCUUACCAAGGCAACGAUGCGUAGCCGACCUGAGAGGGUGAUCGGCCAAACUGGAACUGAGACACGGUCCAGAUUCCUACGGGAGGAAGAAGUAGGGAAUCUUCCGAAAUGGGCGAAAGCCUGACGGAGCACCGCCGCGUGAGUGAUGAAGGUUUUCGGAUCGUAAAACUCUGUUAUUAGGGAAGAACAAAUGUGUAAGUAAAUAUGCACGUCUUGACGGUACCUAAUCAGAAAGCCACGGCUAACUACGUG